Molecule: ribosomal RNA, 253 nt
Filed under: uncultured bacterium
Lineage: Bacteria
Description: partial 16S ribosomal RNA
Rfam family: Bacterial small subunit ribosomal RNA
Source: RNAcentral
AACGUAGGUUCCGAGCGUUAUCCGGAUUUACUGGGCGUAAAGCGUGUUCAGGCGGUUUAGCAAGUCGGGCAUGAAAUCUCUCGGCUCAACCGGGAGGGGCUGUCCGAAACUGCUAGACUUGAGGGCAAUAGAGGGUGGUGGAAUUCCGGGUGUAGUGGUGAAAUGCGUAGAGAUCCGGAGGAACACCAGUGGCGAAAGCGGCCACCUGGAUUGCACCUGACGCUCAAACACGAAAGCUAGGGGAGCGAACGGG